GAUGAACGCUGGCGGCGUGCCUAAUACAUGCGAGUCGAGCGAACAGACGAGGAGCUUGCUCCUCUGACGUUAGCGGCGGACGGGUGAGUAACACGUGGAUAACCUACCUAUAAGACUGGGAUAACUUCGGGAAACCGGAGCUAAUACCGGAUAAUAUAUUGAACCGCAUGGUUCAAUAGUGAAAGACGGUUUUGCUGUCACUUAUAGAUGGAUCCGCGCCGCAUUAGCUAGUUGGUAAGGUAACGGCUUACCAAGGCAACGAUGCGUAGCCGACCUGAGAGGGUGAUCGGCCACACUGGAACUGAGACACGGUCCAGACCCCUACGGGAGGCAGCAGUAGGGAAUCUUCCGCAAUGGGCGAAAGCUUGACGGAGCAACGCCGCGUGAGUGAUGAAGGUCUUCGGAUCGUAAAACUCUGUUAUUAGGGAAGAACAAAUGUGUAAGUAACUAUGCACGUCUUGACGGUACCUAAUCAGAAAGCCACGGCUAACUACGUG
This 497-nucleotide ribosomal RNA is filed under the name uncultured bacterium. RNAcentral's name for it is "partial 16S ribosomal RNA". It matches the Rfam family "Bacterial small subunit ribosomal RNA", at positions 28 to 507 of the family's 1533-position model. The record is from RNAcentral.